RNAcentral lists this long non-coding RNA (238 nucleotides) under Elaeis guineensis (African oil palm). RNAcentral describes it as "long non-coding RNA (EGUI_LNC053579)". The record is from RNAcentral. Lineage: Eukaryota; Viridiplantae; Streptophyta; Magnoliopsida; Arecales; Arecaceae.
CAUAGACGGCUUCUAAUGGUAGAUCUAAUUUGAUCCUCUUCUUACAUUGCCUCAGAUGCUUUCAAUGUUGAAGAUGGAUUAGAGAAGGUGUUGGAUGGUAGAAUAAAAGUUAGAGGAGAAAUCUCUUCUCACUAUUAUUUUUUUCUCAUUCGAAAACCCUAGAACAAUUCUUGGUCUCUCACCUGAAGAGGAGUUGGAUCUCCUCCAAUGCUCGUGCCAAGAUGAAUAGAGCCCACCC